RNAcentral lists this transfer RNA (99 nucleotides) under mine drainage metagenome. RNAcentral's name for it is "tRNA-Arg". It matches the Rfam family "tRNA". From Rfam's summary of the family: Transfer RNA (tRNA) molecules are approximately 80 nucleotides in length. The record is from RNAcentral.
GCUCCCGUAGUCUAGUCCGGUCAAGGAUAGAGGGCCUUCGAGGCGUCGGUUCGACGCCGAGGAAACCCUCCAACGUGGGUUCGAAUCCCGCCGGGAGCA